Molecule: ribosomal RNA, 468 nt
Filed under: uncultured bacterium
Lineage: Bacteria
Description: partial 16S ribosomal RNA
Rfam family: Bacterial small subunit ribosomal RNA
Source: RNAcentral
GACGAACGCUGGCGGCGUGCUUAACACAUGCAAGUCGAACGGAAAGGCCCUGCUUUUGUGGGGUGCUCGAGUGGCGAACGGGUGAGUAACACGUGAGUAACCUGCCCUUGACUUUGGGAUAACUUCAGGAAACUGGGGCUAAUACCGGAUAGGAGAUCCUGCUGCAUGGGGGGGGUUGGAAAGUUUCGGCUGUUGGGGAUGGACUCGCGGCUUAUCAGCUUGUUGGUGGGGUAGGGGCUGACCAAGCUUUUGACGGGUAGCCGGCCUGAGAGGGUGACCGGCGACAAUACGACUGAGAGACGGCGCAGAAUCGUACGGGAGGCAGCGGUGGGGAGUAUUGCACAAUGGGCGGAAGCGUGAUGCGGCAACGCUGCGUUCGGGAUGACGUCCUACGGGGUGUAAACCGCUUUCGCCUGUGACGUAGCGGGCGUGACGGUAAUGGGUAAAGAAGCACCGGCUAACUACGUG